UGGGGAAUAUUGGACAAUGGGCGCAAGCCUGAUCCAGCCAUGCCGCGUGAGUGAUGAAGGCCCUAGGGUUGUAAAGCUCUUUCACCGGUGAAGAUAAUGACGGUAACCGGAGAAGAAGCCCCGGCUAACUUCGUGCCAGCUGCCGCGGUAAUACGAAGGGGGCUAGCGUUGUUCGGAUUUACUGGGCGUAAAGCGCACGUAGGCGGACUAUUAAGUCAGGGGUGAAAUCCCGGGGCUCAACCCCGGAACUGCCUUUGAUACUGGUAGUCUUGAGUUCGAGAGAGGUGAGUGGAAUUCCGAGUGUAGAGGUGAAAUUCGUAGAUAUUCGGAGGAACACCAGUGGCGAAGGCGGCUCACUGGCUCGAUACUGACGCUGAGGUGCGAAAGAGUGGGGAGCAAACAGG
This 404-nucleotide ribosomal RNA is filed under the name Actinomycetes bacterium. RNAcentral describes it as "Actinobacteria bacterium partial 16S ribosomal RNA". It matches the Rfam family "Bacterial small subunit ribosomal RNA", at positions 355 to 776 of the family's 1533-position model. The record is from RNAcentral. Lineage: Bacteria; Bacillati; Actinomycetota; Actinomycetes.